GCCUGGGUGGCUCAGUCGGUUGAGCAACUGACUUCGGCUCAGGUCAUGAUCUCACAGUUUGUGGGUUUGAGCCCCAUGUCAGGCU
RNAcentral lists this transfer RNA (85 nucleotides) under Felis catus (domestic cat). It matches the Rfam family "tRNA". From Rfam's summary of the family: Transfer RNA (tRNA) molecules are approximately 80 nucleotides in length. RNAcentral also lists the same sequence under 2 other names. The record is from Rfam by way of RNAcentral. Lineage: Eukaryota; Metazoa; Chordata; Mammalia; Carnivora; Felidae.